This 1173-nucleotide ribosomal RNA is filed under the name Borreliella garinii IPT95. RNAcentral describes it as "bacterial LSU rRNA". It matches the Rfam family "Bacterial large subunit ribosomal RNA", at positions 1105 to 2294 of the family's 2925-position model. The record is from RNAcentral. Lineage: Bacteria; Pseudomonadati; Spirochaetota; Spirochaetia; Spirochaetales; Borreliaceae.
CUUAGAAGCAGCCAUACCUUUAAAGAGUGCGUAAUAGCUCACUGGUCGAGUACUUAAGCGCCGAUAAUGUAACGGGGCUAAACACAUUACCGAAGCUUUGGAUCUUGACGAAAGUUAAGAUGGUAGGGGAGCGUUCUGUAAGCCAGAGAAGUUAAGCUGGAAAGUUUGAUGGAGGUAUCAGAAGUGAGAAUGCAGGUAUGAGUAACGAAAAAAUGGGUGAGAUCCCCAUUCGCCGAAAACCUAAGGUUUCCUGGGUAAAGGUCGUCUUCCCAGGGUUAGUCGGCCCCUAAGGCAAAGCUGAAAAGUGUAGUCGAUGGGAAACGGGUUAAUAUUCCCGUACCUCUUAUAGUUUCGAUGGAGUGACGCAUGAGGUUAACUACUGCUAGGCGAUGGUUGUCCUAGUUUAAGCAUUAAGGUUAUGAUCUUAAUAGGAAAAUCCGUUAAGAGAGCUGAGAUGUGAUGAUGAGUGUUAUUUAGGUAGCAUGAAAUGUAGGUAGUCAAGGUGCCAAGAAAUAACUUCUAAGGUUAGGCUAUAAGGGACCGUACCGCAAACCGACACAGGUAGGUGGGAUGAAAAUUCUAAGGCGCGCGAGAGAAUCCACGUUAAGGAACUCUGCAAAAUACGUACGUAACUUCGGGAUAAGUACGACCUAAGCAAUUAGGUAGCAUAAAAAUGGUCCAAACGACUGUUUACCAAAAACACAGGUCUCUGCAAAUCUGUAAAGAGAAGUAUAGGGACUGACACCUGCCCGGUGCUGGAAGGUUAAGAGGAGAUGUUAGUUUAUUCGAAGCAUUGAAUUUAAGCCCCAGUAAACGGCGGCCGUAACUAUAACGGUCCUAAGGUAGCGAAAUUCCUUGUCGGGUAAGUUCCGACCCGCACGAAUGGUGUAACGAUUUGGACGCUGUCUCAACGUGGAGCUCGGUGAAAUUGAAGUAUCGGUGAAGAUGCCGAUUACUUGUGGUUAGACGGAAAGACCCCGUGAACCUUUACUAUAGCUUGGUAUUGAGAUUUGAUUAAAUAUGUGUAGGAUAGGUGGGAGACUUUGAAGCUAUCUCGUUAGGGAUAGUGGAGUCAAUCUUGAAAUACCACCCUUGUUUAAUUAAGUUUCUAACUUAUAGAAAUAUAAGGAGAGUGCCAGGUGGGUAGUUUGACUGGGGCGGUCGCCUCCUAAA